Molecule: long non-coding RNA, 453 nt
Organism: Bos indicus x Bos taurus (hybrid cattle)
Lineage: Eukaryota; Metazoa; Chordata; Mammalia; Artiodactyla; Bovidae
Source: Ensembl
ACAUGCAGUCUGUGGAGAUCCAGAAGCAGUGCUUAACCCGUCUAUCUGGACACUUCUCUUGGCUGUGCUGGAGCAUCAUCCCAUGGGUUUGGCCUGUGCAAGCCUACCUGUGAGUCGGCACUUCUUUAAUAAUCUCAAAUCUCCAGGAUAUUUACUGACAUCUUCAUAUCAUCACUCCAGCCUCAUGAAUGGAGCUAGAAGAUGCCACAAGCACUGCCGGAAACCAGUUGCUGCAGAAUCAGCCGCCAUUCUGGUUCCCUUGUGGCAUAAUUUUGGCCAAUUAAAUGUAAGUGAGGUCUGGUGGAAGGAUCUUCCAUGAAAGAGUUAAAAAAAAGGAAAACUCAGCUCAUAUAGCCUCUUUGGAAAAAUCAGCUCAUAUAUCCCUGCUUGUGAUUCAGUUAAUGCCUAAGGCUAAAGGAUGACCAAGCAGAAUAAAAGCCUUGUUUUUAUUCA